GGUGUGCUGGCGCAAUGGUAGCGCGUAGUCCUCCUAAUUCAGUGCGAAGUGGGAACGCAAGACUAAGGCUCAGGGUUCGAGUCCCUGGUAUACCG
This 95-nucleotide transfer RNA is filed under the name Metarhizium album ARSEF 1941. It matches the Rfam family "tRNA". From Rfam's summary of the family: Transfer RNA (tRNA) molecules are approximately 80 nucleotides in length. Their secondary structure includes four short double-helical elements and three loops (D, anti-codon, and T loops). The record is from Rfam by way of RNAcentral. Lineage: Eukaryota; Fungi; Ascomycota; Sordariomycetes; Hypocreales; Clavicipitaceae.